This 679-nucleotide ribosomal RNA is filed under the name uncultured Filobasidiales. RNAcentral's name for it is "eukaryotic LSU rRNA". The stretch from base 234 to 387 matches the Rfam family "5.8S ribosomal RNA". The record is from RNAcentral. Lineage: Eukaryota; Fungi; Basidiomycota; Tremellomycetes.
CUUGGUCAUUUAGAGGAAGUAAAAGUCGUAACAAGGUUUCCGUAGGUGAACCUGCGGAAGGAUCAUUAGUGAAUUAAACAUGCUUGGUGUCUUCGCUUCGGCAAGGCCCUUGCUUAACUCACAUCCCAACACCUGUGAACUGUAAGGCGCAUGACUAGGUUCGCCCAAGUCAUCGUCUGCCCUUUUUAACAAACAAUUAAUGUAACAAACGUAGUCUUAUUAUAACCUAAUAAAACUUUCAACAACGGAUCUCUUGGCUCUCGCAUCGAUGAAGAACGCAGCGAAAUGCGAUAAGUAAUGUGAAUUGCAGAAUUCAGUGAAUCAUCGAAUCUUUGAACGCACCUUGCGCUCUUUGGUAUUCCGAAGAGCAUGCCUGUUUGAGUGUCAUGAAAAUAUCAACCUUGACUUGGGUUUUGUGCUCUAGUCUCGGCUUGGAAUUGGGUGCCUGCCGCUUUUACGAGCGGCUCACCUUAAAUGUAUUAGCUGGAUCUGUCUUUGAGACUUGGUUUGACUUGGCGUAAUAAGUAUUUCGCUAAGGACAUUCUUCGGAGUGGCCUCGUUUCUAGGACGCUUGUCCGCUUUCCAAUACAAGUUCCACCUCGUGGACAUGACUUUUUAUUAUCUGGCCUCAAAUCAGGUAGGACUACCCGCUGAACUUAAGCAUAUCAAUAAGCGGAGG